RNAcentral lists this ribosomal RNA (450 nucleotides) under uncultured bacterium. Its description in RNAcentral is "bacterial SSU rRNA". It matches the Rfam family "Bacterial small subunit ribosomal RNA", at positions 354 to 796 of the family's 1533-position model. The record is from RNAcentral.
GCUAAGAAUAUUCCGCAAUGGACGAAAGUCUGACGGAGCGACGCCGCGUGGAUGAAGAAGGCCGAAAGGUUGUAAAAUCCUUUUGCUGGGGAAGAAUAAGGUGGGGAGGAAAUGCCCUAUCGAUGACAUGAACCGGUGAAUAAGCCCCGGCUAACUACGUGCCAGCAGCCGCGGUAACACGUAGGGGGCGAGCGUUGUUCGGAAUUAUUGGGCGUAAAGGGCAUGUAGGCGGUUGGGAAAGCCCGACGUGAAAUCCUGCAGCUUAACUGUAGAAUUGCGUUGGGAACUAUCCGACUAGAAUCGUGGAGGGGGAGCUAGAAUUCCAGGUGUAGGGGUGAAAUCUGUAGAUAUCUGGAAGAAUACCGGUGGCGAAGGCGAGCUCCUGGCCAAUGAUUGACGCUGAGGUGCGAAAGCGUGGGGAUCAAACAGGAUUAGAUACCCCUGUAGUCC